CUACUGCAGCAAUGGCUUUCAGGCAA
RNAcentral lists this unclassified non-coding RNA (26 nucleotides) under Mus musculus (house mouse). RNAcentral describes it as "oocyte_clustered_small_RNA3271". Lineage: Eukaryota; Metazoa; Chordata; Mammalia; Rodentia; Muridae. The record is from RNAcentral.